CUUUUAAAAAAAAUUAUAGCUUCACUGGGUAUCAGGGCUUAGAUGAUAAACACGGGUCAACCAUCACCAGCCACUCAUCUACUCUUCUCUUUGUGAUUAUCCUGUGUAGGCGAUUCUAAAUUUAUCUCAAGAUCAGGAUUAAGCAGAAAAAAAAAAAAAAACCCAAAAAUGGUCUUGGCAACAUCACUACUCUGGCUGCUUGUGGAAGCAACAAGUGACUUCAUCUAACAUUCACUUGCGUAAGGCAGUUCCGAAGUGGGAACACUCACCUGCCCAUGACAGUUGCCAGGAGACCAGAGGCUCUGCUGGGGAAAUCCCUUGGUCUGCCAAAGCGUUUUUCUUUCCGCAUAAAAGGUCAGUCGGCUCCUAGGGGCAAGUGUGGAAUUACAGAAGGUGUCGAGGACUAAGCACAAGCCGGCUGCUAUCGGCUGCUUUCCAACAACGCUGUAAAGCUUCUCCUUGAGUCACGGCUCUUUUUUCAGACGUUCCAUAGCAGCUGGAGAACUCCAGAAGUGUGAGUCUCCGUUUCCGGUCCUGAGAGCUCACACACCACCUGGGAGCCUCCUGCCCCAGACACCGGCCUGGACAGGCCAGCCUCUCCCUCGAAGUCUCGAGAAGGGGUUGUUUCAGAAGGCUGCAGGUGUGUGCGGAGUUUGUCGCUGGGAUGGCGCGCUGGUGGGAAGACAGCCCACGGGUGUCGCCCUCCAUCAAGGUCAAGUUAUCCAGCCUGGCUCGUGCUGCCCGGAGUUUGCUACGAUUGGGACCCAGCAGGUUUGGAGUGAUGCCAGCAUCCUGUGGAGUCAGAAGAAAAGGCUGAGAAUAGGAAGUAUAUUGACCCAAUUUAUGGGACAAAGUGCAAUAGAGGUGACAGAACAAGCUACCAAAGGUGUUCGCUCUGUGAAGACUUUUUAGGACAAGAGAUUUGGGACAAUGAAGUACAAAUGGAACCCGUGGUCAGGGUCAAAAGAAGUCUCUUUUGACUCCUUUUGAUAGAGCAACUCCUUUUGGUUGCUGGGUAAAAUAAAGUCUUUGCAUUUGG
Long non-coding RNA from Bos indicus x Bos taurus (hybrid cattle), 1039 nucleotides. The record is from Ensembl. NCBI's taxonomy places the organism in Eukaryota, Metazoa, Chordata, Mammalia, Artiodactyla, Bovidae.